UACGAAGGGGGCUAGCGUUGCUCGGAUUGACUGGGCGUAAAGCGCACGUAGGCGGACUCUUAAGUCGGUGGUGAAAUCCUGGAGCUCAACUCCAGAACUGCCUUCGAUACUGAGAGUCUCGAGUCCGGGAGAGGUGAGUGGAACUGCGAGUGUAGAGGUGAAAUUCGUAGAUAUUCGCAAGAACACCAGUGGCGAAGGCGGCUCACUGGCCCGGUACUGACGCUGAGGUGCGAAAGCGUGGGGAGCAAACAGG
RNAcentral lists this ribosomal RNA (253 nucleotides) under uncultured bacterium. RNAcentral describes it as "partial 16S ribosomal RNA". It matches the Rfam family "Bacterial small subunit ribosomal RNA", at positions 524 to 776 of the family's 1533-position model. The record is from RNAcentral.